Molecule: long non-coding RNA, 363 nt
Organism: Melanotaenia boesemani (Boeseman's rainbowfish)
Lineage: Eukaryota; Metazoa; Chordata; Actinopteri; Atheriniformes; Melanotaeniidae
Exons: 3
Source: RefSeq, a predicted model, not a curated record
UCCAGAACCAGAGAGGUUACAGGUCUAGAACCAGAGAGGUUACAUGUCCAGAACCAGAGAGGUUACAGGUCCAGAACCAGAGAGGUUACAGGUCUAGAACCAGAGAGGUUACAGGUCUAGAACCAGAGAGGUUACAUGUCCAGAACCAGAGAGGUUACAGGUCCAUAACCAGAGAGGUUACAGGUUCAGAACCAGAGAGGUUACAGGUCUAGAACCAGAGAGGUUACAGGUCCAGAACCAGAGAGGUUACAGGUCCAGAACCAGAGAGGUUACAAGUCCAGAACCAGAGAGGUUACAGGUCCAGAACCAGAAAGGUUACAGGUCAAGAACCAGAGACAACAGGCGGCCAAGAUAGCCUUUUAU